UAACGCGUGGAUAACCUGCCAUAUACAGGGGGAUAACACUUAGAAAUAGGUGCUAAUACCGCAUAAGCGCACAGCUUCGCAUGAAGGAGUGUGAAAAACUAAGGUGGUAUAUGAUGGAUCCGCGUCUGAUUAGCCAGUUGGUGAGGUAACGGCUCACCAAAGCGACGAUCAGUAGCCGGCCUGAGAGGGCGGACGGCCACAUUGGGACUGAGACACGGCCCAGACUCCUACGGAAGGCAGCAG
RNAcentral lists this ribosomal RNA (243 nucleotides) under uncultured bacterium. Its description in RNAcentral is "partial 16S ribosomal RNA". It matches the Rfam family "Bacterial small subunit ribosomal RNA", at positions 111 to 354 of the family's 1533-position model. The record is from RNAcentral.